This 464-nucleotide ribosomal RNA is filed under the name uncultured bacterium. Its description in RNAcentral is "partial 16S ribosomal RNA". It matches the Rfam family "Bacterial small subunit ribosomal RNA", at positions 28 to 506 of the family's 1533-position model. The record is from RNAcentral.
GACGAACGCUGGCGGCGUGCUUAACACAUGCAAGUCGUACGGUAAGGCCCUUUCGGGGGUACACGAGUGGCGAACGGGUGAGUAACACGUGAGUAACCUGCCCACAACUUUGGGAUAACGCUAGGAAACUGGUGCUAAUACUGGAUAUGUGCUCCUGCUGCAUGGUGGGGGUUGGAAAGCUCCGGCGGUUGUGGAUGGACUCGCGGCCUAUCAGCUUGUUGGUGGGGUAGUGGCCUACCAAGGCGGCGACGGGUAGCCGGCCUGAGAGGGUGACCGGCCACAUUGGGACUGAGAUACGGCCCAGACUCCUACGGGAGGGAGCAGUGGGGAAUUUUGCACAAUGGGCGCAAGCCUGAUGCAGCAACGCCGCGGGCGGGAUGACGGCCUUCGGGUUGUAAACCGCUUUCAGCAGGGACGAAGCUUUUUGUGACGGUACCGGCAGAAGAAGCACCGGCUAACUACGU